Molecule: ribosomal RNA, 232 nt
Filed under: Paenibacillus agri
Lineage: Bacteria; Bacillati; Bacillota; Bacilli; Caryophanales; Paenibacillaceae
Description: Bacterial small subunit ribosomal RNA
Rfam family: Bacterial small subunit ribosomal RNA
Source: Rfam by way of RNAcentral
GCUUGCACUCCUGAUGGUUAGCGGCGGACGGGUGAGUAACACGUAGGCAACCUGCCCCACAGACUGGGAUAACUACCGGAAACGGUAGCUAAUACCGGAUAAUUCCUUUUAGCUCCUGCUGAAAGGAUGAAAGACGGAGCAAUCUGUCACUGCGGGAUGGGCCUGCGGCGCAUUAGCUAGUUGGUGAGGUAACGGCUCACCAAGGCGACGAUGCGUAGCCGACCUGAGAGGG